CUAAUACCGUAUGUGCCCUACGGGGGAAAGAUUUAUCGCCUUAGGAGCGGCCGCGUUGGAUUAGCUAGUUGGUGGGGUAAAGGCCUACCAAGGCUACGAUCCAUAGCUGGUCUGAGAGGAUGAUCAGCCACACUGGGACUGAGACACGGCCCAGACUCCUACGGGAGGCAGCAGUAGGGAAUCUUGCGCAAUGGGCGAAAGCCUGACGCAGCCAUGCCGCGUGAAUGAUGAAGGUCUUAGGAUUGUAAAAUUCUUUCACCGGGGAAGAUAAUGACGGUACCCGGAGAAGAAGCCCCGGCUAACUUCGUGCCAGCAGCCGCGGUAAUACGAAGGGGGCUAGCGUUGCUCGGAACUACUGGGCGUAAAGGGCGCGUAGGCGGACAGUUUAGUCAGAGGUGAAAGCCCAGGGCUCAACCUUGGAAUUGCCUUUGAUACUGGCUGUCUUGAGUUCGGGAGAGGUGAGUGGAAUGCCGAGUGUAGAGGUGUAAUUCGUAGAUAUUCGGCGGAACACCAGUGGCGAAGGCGACUCACUGGCCCGACACUGACGCUGAGGCGCGAAAGCGUGGGGAGCAAACA
RNAcentral lists this ribosomal RNA (576 nucleotides) under uncultured bacterium. Its description in RNAcentral is "bacterial SSU rRNA". It matches the Rfam family "Bacterial small subunit ribosomal RNA", at positions 163 to 774 of the family's 1533-position model. The record is from RNAcentral.